GUGCUGCGUUCACAAGGGGACACAACAGGCAGGAAGGUGGUUUUCCCAGGGUGAGGCUCAUCCUUUGAACUCUGUCGUAUGCUAAACCCUGCAGUUUCUCCAAAUGCAGGAAGCUCCUCUGCAUAAUUUGGGGUAGUGGCAGAUUGUGUUCUUACUCUUCCCUG
Small nuclear RNA from Apteryx haastii (Great spotted kiwi), 164 nucleotides. Its record names the gene U1. It matches the Rfam family "U1 spliceosomal RNA". From Rfam's summary of the family: U1 is a small nuclear RNA (snRNA) component of the spliceosome (involved in pre-mRNA splicing). Lineage: Eukaryota; Metazoa; Chordata; Aves; Apterygiformes; Apterygidae. The record is from Ensembl.